This 84-nucleotide transfer RNA is filed under the name Methanoculleus chikugoensis. RNAcentral describes it as "tRNA-Leu". It matches the Rfam family "tRNA". From Rfam's summary of the family: Transfer RNA (tRNA) molecules are approximately 80 nucleotides in length. Lineage: Archaea; Methanobacteriati; Methanobacteriota; Methanomicrobia; Methanomicrobiales; Methanomicrobiaceae. The record is from RNAcentral. RNAcentral also lists the same sequence under 1 other name.
GCGGGGGUUGCCGAGCCGGUCAAAGGCGCUGGAUUUAGGGUCCAGUCUCGAAGGAGUUCAAGGGUUCGAAUCCCUUCCCCCGCA